UGGAACUGAGACACGGUCCAGACUCCUACGGGAGGCAGCAGUAGGGAAUCUUCCGCAAUGGGCGAAAGCCUGACGGAGCAACGCCGCGUGAGUGAUGAAGGUCUUCGGAUCGUAAAACUCUGUUAUUAGGGAAGAACAUAUGUGUAAGUAACUGUGCACAUCUUGACGGUACCUAAUCAGAAAGCCACGGCUAACUACGUGCCAGCAGCCGCGGUAAUACGUAGGUGGCAAGCGUUAUCCGGAAUUAUUGGGCGUAAAGCGCGCGUAGGCGGUUUUUUAAGUCUGAUGUGAAAGCCCACGGCUCAACC
This 308-nucleotide ribosomal RNA is filed under the name Staphylococcus aureus. RNAcentral's name for it is "bacterial SSU rRNA". It matches the Rfam family "Bacterial small subunit ribosomal RNA", at positions 314 to 614 of the family's 1533-position model. Lineage: Bacteria; Bacillati; Bacillota; Bacilli; Caryophanales; Staphylococcaceae. The record is from RNAcentral.